This 238-nucleotide ribosomal RNA is filed under the name uncultured bacterium. RNAcentral's name for it is "partial 16S ribosomal RNA". It matches the Rfam family "Bacterial small subunit ribosomal RNA", at positions 92 to 334 of the family's 1533-position model. The record is from RNAcentral.
CGACCGGCGCACGGUGAGUAACGCGUAUCCAACCUGCCCACCACUUGGGAUAACCUUGCGAAAGUAAGACUAAUACCCAAUGAUAUCUCUAGAAGACAUCUGAAAGAGAUUAAAGAUUUAUCGUGAUGGAUGGGGAUGCGUCUGAUUAGCUUGUUGGCGGGGUAACGGCCCACCAAGGCAACGAUCAGUAGGGGUUCUGAGAGGAAGGUCCCCCACAUUGGACUGAGACACGGUCCAA